This 448-nucleotide ribosomal RNA is filed under the name uncultured prokaryote. RNAcentral describes it as "bacterial SSU rRNA". It matches the Rfam family "Bacterial small subunit ribosomal RNA", at positions 355 to 796 of the family's 1533-position model. The record is from RNAcentral.
UGGGGAAUUUUCCGCAAUGGGCGCAAGCCUGACGGAGCAAUACCGCGUGAGGGAGGAAGGUCUUCGGAUCGUAAAGCUCUGUUGUUGGGGACGAAGGGCGAAGGGUUAAUAGCCCCUAGCCUGACGGUACCCUUCGAGGAAGCCCCGGCUAACUACGUGCCAGCAGCCGCGGUAAUACGUAGGGGGCGAGCGUUGUCCGGAAUUAUUGGGCGUAAAGAGCGUGUAGGCGGCCUGGUAAGUCUGCCGUGAAGACUCGGGGCUCAACCCUGAGCGUGCGGGGGAUACUGCCAGGCUAGAGGAUGGUAGAGGCGAGUGGAAUUCCCGGUGUAGCGGUGAAAUGCGCAGAUAUCGGGAGGAACACCAGUAGCGAAGGCGGCUCGCUGGGCCAUUCCUGACGCUGAGACGCGAAAGCGUGGGGAGCAAACAGGAUUAGAUACCCGGGUAGUCC